RNAcentral lists this ribosomal RNA (252 nucleotides) under uncultured bacterium. Its description in RNAcentral is "partial 16S ribosomal RNA". It matches the Rfam family "Bacterial small subunit ribosomal RNA", at positions 524 to 775 of the family's 1533-position model. The record is from RNAcentral.
UACAGAGGGUGCGAGCGUUAAUCGGAAUUACUGGGCGUAAAGCGUGCGUAGACGGUUACGUAAGUCGGAUGUGAAAUCCCCGGGCUCAACCUGGGAAUUGCAUUCGAGACUGUGUAGCUGGGGUGCGGAAGAGGGAAGCGGAAUUUCCGGUGUAGCGGUGAAAUGCGUAGAUAUCGGAAGGAACAUCAGUGGCGAAAGCGGCUUCCUGGUCCAGCACCGACGUUCAGGCACGAAAGCGUGGGGAGCAACAGG